This 1156-nucleotide long non-coding RNA is filed under the name Callithrix jacchus (white-tufted-ear marmoset). Its description in RNAcentral is "lncRNA (ENSCJAG00000086753.1)". The record is from RNAcentral. Lineage: Eukaryota; Metazoa; Chordata; Mammalia; Primates; Cebidae.
CAGCAGAUGAACAUCAGUUUCUCACUGUAAUGUAGUACCCAGCAAUACUGUGACCAGGCCCAGCAGAUGAACAUCAGUUUCUCACUGUAAUGUACUAACCAACCUUCAUGUAGUUUUCUUCGGGUGUCUCCAGAUGUCUUUUUACAUAUAGUUUGUUUGAAUCACGAUCAAACUAAUUAUUUCCUUUGGCCAAAACGGAUGCACGAUGGUACAGAUUCUGAGAUGAAGGGAUUCUCUCCCCCUAAGAUGAAAGCAAGAGAAAAUUAAUGUUUGGGAUGGAGGAGGAGAGAGCUGUAGGUCUGAGGCUCAAGGGCAUUAGUCUCGGUAGAACAAAGGAAUGUGAGAUCAUUUUGAGGUAAGGAUUUGGGAGACUGGCUAGAAGUUUGUGAGUCAGAGGUUUGGAAUAGAGCUUCAGGAGUGUGAUAGCGAAUAAAAUUAAAAUGUAUGAAAGGCUCACUAAGAAAUAAUGAGAAUUAAACUGAGGUUUAUUAGCAUUGUCUUGUUGACAAAUAAUCCACUUGUGUUCUUGGCUUUCUUCAUGGCUAGUUAAUGGCUUUACGUAUACGGUUUAGAUGAGUCACAAAUGGGUAGAGUUGAAGAAUUGAAAGCAAAUUUGCAGGAAUCGAAGUGUGGCCUGAGCAAAAGGCUGAAAUGAGCUGAGCUUGGAAGGAAUUUUUGCUAAAGAUGGUGAUGGAUUAUAAAACAGAGGGGACCAGGAGCCAGAAAACUCAGUAGGAGAAAUGGAAAGAUAGGAAAGUGAUGGUCAGAAGGCACGCUCAUAGUCGAAAGUCUUCAUAUGCUUAUUGGUUGACAGGUGAUUGAAGCUAUGAGUAAUUGACACAAAGUCACAAGGAGGUAGUAUGGGGCAGUCACAAGCCUGGGUACCCUUCUGCUUUGCCACCUAUAAGCUGUGUGACAUCAGGGAAAUGCACAUGUGGAAUCUGUUUCAUUGCACGGCGAACAAAAGCAGGUGAGUGUAAAAACAAUACUUCCAGCUCCUCCACGGCAGCACUUGCGCCUCUAGUCAGGCUGAAUUGAAGGUAAAGGCACAUUUUAUCAUUGCUGGCUGCUAUCUGCUUCCCUUAACCCUGUUAGACAAGAGAUACUUUCAAAAGUUGGGUAUAAGUAACAGUUUUGCAAAUUGAGGCAUCUUUCC